CGAUUUAUCAUGAAUUAAAUAUAUAAAUAUAUGUGAUUCAUAUAUUUACUAGGUGAAUCUUAUCAUAUGUCUUAUAUCUUGAGUUUGUGGUAGGUUGAGUUUAGAUAAGAAUAAAUAAAUUACGUCAAUAAUGAAUUUGUGGAGUGGACUGACUGCCCUCUAGACUUUAUAUAUUUUAUGCUAGUGUAUUAUCUACUUCCGUUGCUGCAACUUUCUCUAUUGUAUAUGUAAACUUGGUUUUUAAGUGAGAAUUGAUGGGGAUAAUGGAGAAGUUCUCCCAUGUAU
Molecule: unclassified non-coding RNA, 285 nt
Filed under: Hevea brasiliensis (rubber tree)
Lineage: Eukaryota; Viridiplantae; Streptophyta; Magnoliopsida; Malpighiales; Euphorbiaceae
Source: RNAcentral